This 399-nucleotide ribosomal RNA is filed under the name Acanthamoeba sp. RNAcentral's name for it is "SSU rRNA". The stretch from base 1 to 358 matches the Rfam family "Eukaryotic small subunit ribosomal RNA", at positions 778 to 1116 of the family's 1831-position model. The record is from RNAcentral. Lineage: Eukaryota; Discosea; Longamoebia; Acanthamoebidae.
CAGCAGGCAGAUCCAAUUUUCUGCCACCGAAUACAUUAGCAUGGGAUAAUGGAAUAGGACCCUGUCCUCCUAUUUUCAGUUGGUUUUGGCAGCGCGAGGACUAGGGUAAUGAUUAAUAGGGAUAGUUGGGGGCAUUAAUAUUUAAUUGUCAGAGGUGAAAUUCUUGGAUUUAUGAAAGAUUAACUUCUGCGAAAGCAUCUGCCAAGGAUGUUUUCAUUAAUCAAGAACGAAAGUUAGGGGAUCGAAGACGAUCAGAUACCGUCGUAGUCUUAACCAUAAACGAUGCCGACCAGCGAUUAGGAGACGUUGAAUACAAAACACCACCAUCGGUGCGGUCGUCCUUGGCGUCUCGGUUUCGGCCGGGGCGCGGGGAUGGCUUAGCCCGGUGGCACCGGUGAA